AGGGUUUGAUCCUGGCUCAGAACGAACGUUGGCGGCCUGGAUUAGGCAUGCAAGUUGAGCGUACCCAGCAAUGGGGAGCAGCGUAAGGGGCAGUAAGGCAUGGGUAUCUACCCGGGGAUCGGGCAUAGCCUGUAGAGAUACAGGGUAAUUCCCGAUGAUGUCGCAAGACCAAAGCUCCGGCGUCCCUGGAGGAGCCCAUGUGAUAUUAGCUAGUUGGUGGGGUAACGGCCUACCAAGGCGAAGAUGUCUAGCGGGUGUGAGAGCACGACCCGCGCCACUGGCACUGAGACACUGGCCAGACACCUACGGGUGGCUGCAGUCGAGGAUCUUCGGCAAUGGGCGCAAGCCUGACCGAGCGAGGCCGCGUGGGCGAUGAAGGCCUUCGGGUUGUAAAGCCCUGUCGAGGGGGAGAAAAGCCGCAAGGCGUGAUCUAUCCCUGGAGGAAGCACGGGCUAAGUUCGUGCCAGCAGCCGCGGUAAGACGAACCGUGCGAACGUUGUUCGGAAUCACUGGGCUUAAAGGGCGCGUAGGCGGGCUAUCAAGUCCGGGGUGAAAUCCUCCAGCUCAACUGGAGAACUGCCUCGGAUACUGAUGGUCUCGAGGAGGAUAGGGGCACACGGAACUGUGGGUGGAGCGGUGAAAUGCGUUGAUAUCCAUAGGAACUCCGGUGGCGAAAGCGGUGUGCUGGAUCCUUUCUGACGCUGAGGCGCGAAAGCCAGGGGAGCAAACGGGAUUAGAUACCCCGGUAGUCCUGGCCCUAAACGUUGGGUACUAGGUAGUAGACUAGACAUGGGUUUACUUCCGAAGCAAAAGUGCUAAGUACCCCGCCUGGGGAGUAUGGUCGCAAGGCUGAAACUCAAAGGAAUUGACGGGGGCUCACACAAGCGGUGGAGCAUGUGGCUUAAUUCGAGGCAACGCGAAGAACCUUACCUGGGUUUGACAUGUGCGAAAGCGGUGAGAAGUAGGACCCGGAAACGGGAACGAACGGUAUCCAAUCCGGAACUCAUCACAGGUGCUGCAUGGCUGUCGUCAGCUCGUGUCGUGAGAUGUCGGGUUAAGUCCCAUAACGAGCGAAACCCUUACCCUCAGUUGCUAAUUAUAGGACUCUGGGGGGACUGCCGGUGUUAAACCGGAGGAAGGUGGGGAUGACGUCAAGUCCUCAUGGCCUUUAUGCCCAGGGCUGCACACGUGCUACAAUGGCGUGAACAAAGGGAUGC
This 1217-nucleotide ribosomal RNA is filed under the name Euphorbia esula (leafy spurge). RNAcentral's name for it is "bacterial SSU rRNA". It matches the Rfam family "Bacterial small subunit ribosomal RNA", at positions 8 to 1250 of the family's 1533-position model. Lineage: Eukaryota; Viridiplantae; Streptophyta; Magnoliopsida; Malpighiales; Euphorbiaceae. The record is from RNAcentral.